CCGCGCCCCCCGCGCCCCCGCCGCCCGCUCCCGGCUCGGCUUUCCGCUCGCUCGGGGCUUCCUGCGAGCUCCGGAGCCACGUGCCCGGGAGGCCGAGCCCGGGAGCCGCGAGAGGCGCCGCGGGGACCGGAUCGCCGCCCACGAGCCCGCAGGACCGGAGCAGGGCCGCGGGGGCACUCGUGGGGUCCGCCCCGGGGGGGGAGGCGACCGGCGCCCCCCCCCGUCCCCACCCCGAGAAGCCGCGGGGAUGCCCCGAAGAGCCCGAGAUGGGCGCGCGCCGCAGCGAGAAGGGGCCGAUCCCGGCCGGUGACCGGGCAAAGCCAUCGACCUCCUCCUAAGGGCGCGGGACUCGAGACACACCCGGAUGGGCACGAGGCAUCUGAAGAGGCAACAGCCAUCUCUCAUGGCAAGACAAGCGUUGGCACGAUUGGGUUAAAAGCUAGAAAAAUCUCGGAUCCCCGAAGGCAGCGCUGAGCAGUGGAUUCAGCACUUGUCAGCAUCUUCCCCUUGGAUCCCUGGCUUUGUGGGACGAGACAUGUGGCAAUACUCAGCCCUCUUUCUUGAAGGCUAACAUCCCUUGAGAUGGAACCUGCAAGCAUCUUUUUAUUUUCUUCUCUGUUGAUCAUUAAAAUCAUGAGGAGGACAGCCCGGGUGGCUCAACCAGUUUAGCACCGCCUUCAGCCCAGGGCCUGAUCCUGGAGACCUGGGAUCGAGUCCCACGUCAGGCUCCAUGCAUGGAACCUGUUUCUCCCUCUGCCUAUGUCUCUGCCUCUCUCUGUCUCUGUCUCUGUGUCUCUCAUGAAUAAAUAAAUAAAAAUCUUAAAAAAAAAAAAAAA
Long non-coding RNA from Nyctereutes procyonoides (raccoon dog), 836 nucleotides. RefSeq lists it as uncharacterized. The transcript is spliced from 3 exons. The record is from RefSeq and is a predicted model, not a curated record. Lineage: Eukaryota; Metazoa; Chordata; Mammalia; Carnivora; Canidae.